GCGCCCGUAGCUCAACGGAUAGAGCCGCCGGUUUCUACCCGGCUGGUUGGGGGUUCGAGUCCCUCCGGGCGCA
RNAcentral lists this transfer RNA (73 nucleotides) under Actinomycetales bacterium. RNAcentral's name for it is "tRNA-Arg". It matches the Rfam family "tRNA". Rfam says of the family: Transfer RNA (tRNA) molecules are approximately 80 nucleotides in length. Their secondary structure includes four short double-helical elements and three loops (D, anti-codon, and T loops). RNAcentral also lists the same sequence under 2 other names. Lineage: Bacteria; Bacillati; Actinomycetota; Actinomycetes; Actinomycetales. The record is from RNAcentral.